Molecule: small nucleolar RNA, 130 nt
Organism: Nomascus leucogenys (northern white-cheeked gibbon)
Lineage: Eukaryota; Metazoa; Chordata; Mammalia; Primates; Hylobatidae
Gene: SNORA41
Product: small nucleolar RNA, H/ACA box 41
Source: Ensembl
UUCCACAGCUACUGGUCUGCAGCUGUUCUUAUGGUAGCAGUUGUGGCAUUCCUCUGUGGGAAAGAAACUGUUAACACAAACACCUCUUUCUUAGCAAAACAGAAAGUAGGUAUAUGUGUGACAGACACAA